Molecule: small RNA, 487 nt
Filed under: Pan troglodytes (chimpanzee)
Lineage: Eukaryota; Metazoa; Chordata; Mammalia; Primates; Hominidae
Description: retained intron
Source: RNAcentral
AAGUUGGGACCCGGACGGCCUCACCAUGAUGAGUGAGUCUUGCUUCCCCAGGGGGCUGGCGGGCUGGGCUGGGGGCAGGCUUCUCCGACCCCAGCCCAGGAAGGGACAGGGAAUAGCUUCAUUCCCUGACUUCAUCAACCAGCUGACCUACUGACUCCCUCUCCCUCCCUUCCUCCCUCCCCUUCCCUUCCUCCCUCCGCUCCUUGCUUCCCUCCCCCUCCCUUCUUCCUUCCCCCUCCCUCCCUUUCUGCCCCUCUCGCUCCUCUUUCUCCCCUUUCCCCUCUCCCUCUGCCUUCCCCUGGCACUCUCUCUCUAGAACGGGCAGCUGCUGCUGCAGUGGGAGGAGGGGCAGCUGGACUCUCCACAUCAUCCAACAUCCUCCUGGCCUCUGUUGGGUCAGUGUUGGGGGCCUGCUUGGGGAAUUCAUCUUCUUCUUCUCUCCCAGCUGAACCCGAGGCUAAAGAUGAGGCAAGAGAAAAUGUACCCC